RNAcentral lists this non-coding RNA (23 nucleotides) under Cricetulus griseus (Chinese hamster). The record is from RNAcentral. Lineage: Eukaryota; Metazoa; Chordata; Mammalia; Rodentia; Cricetidae.
CUGAUAUCCUUGUCUAAAUGUGU